UUAACUUAGGUUUCCCGCCCACAAAGGGUUUAUCUAUGGCUUAUCAUCAAAUCCCAAAAACCUGUUGGUCCAUCACCUCUUAAAAAUGGACAGGAAACCUAAGGUAAUUUUAUAAACCGGCCUUCCCCAAUUUUACUAUAAAGGGGAAACCGGGGCAAGAUGGUCCACUGGGGGUAAAAUGGACCAGCCCCAUUUUAGACAUCUACAUGGGACUUAACCGUCGUGACGCUUUCCAAUUCAUAGUUACUUCCCUUCGAUCUCACAUCCCCAAAAGUUUCAUUUUGGCGGCAGUUUUCAUGACACAGGAAGGAAAAUACUAAAAUUCAAGUCUUCAAUGUAAGUAUUGCUUUCAAAUAUAUCAUGCUAAUGAAAUAAAUAGCAACACCUUAGGUAAGUAUGGCCUAUCAUGUUUUGAAACAUUUCAAAUGUCAAUGUUUAAGCAGCAACAGCCUUGAAUUUUCUUUAGGUUUGAAUGCAGAGCAAGCAUUUUCUUUUUUGUUGUUGUAACCUGAAUGGGGCAAAACGGUCCACUGUCCCGUUUUACCCCAUAUGUGUGUUUGUGUAUGUAUACACAUAUGUGUGUGUUGUGCAUAGUAUGUUUGUAUGCAAAUGCGAGUAUGUAUGUGUGCAGGGAUAUGAGCGCCGGUGUCUGUGUGGGUGCGAGUGCGCAUAAGUUUUAUCUCACUUUCUGCAUCCCAUUUUCUUUAUUAUUUUCAGAUGGUGAGAAAUUGUCAAGAAGGCUGAGGGUGUCUUGGCAUCACUCACCAAAUCCUUUGUGAGCCGCUCUCCGGCUAUCUAUCUGCGGCUUUAUAUAGCUAUGGUAAGACCUCACCUGGAAUUUGCAUCACCGGUCUGGAACCCCGGUCUUGCCCAGGAUAUCAAUCGUCUGGAAGCUGUUCAGCGACGUGCAACCAAAAGAAUACCCUCCAUCAGGCAUUUGCCAUAUUCUGAACGCCUUACUUCCCUGGGCAUGGACACAUUGAAACUCCAACGUCUGGCAGCUGACUUGGCAGACACCCAUAAAAUUAUCAACCAUCUUACAUAACAAUAACUCUGAGCACCUUUUCAAACUCCACCCGUCUAACACCCGUGGACGGACAUAUUUACAAAGUCAGAAAACAGCACAGCUCCCAUGACUUUAGGAAACAUUUUUUCACGCUGGGAGUUGCUGAGGCAUGGAACGAACUGCCGGCAUCAGUUGUUAGUUGUCGGAGCACUGCAUCCUUCAAAACUUCCAUGCUUCCUGAGAUUCGUCAACACUACACCUGAUUUUCUCCCCUCCAUACACACACAAGCAUGUA
RNAcentral lists this long non-coding RNA (1301 nucleotides) under Octopus vulgaris (common octopus). Lineage: Eukaryota; Metazoa; Mollusca; Cephalopoda; Octopoda; Octopodidae. The record is from RNAcentral.